Pelobates cultripes (western spadefoot toad) is the source of this 599-nucleotide non-coding RNA. Lineage: Eukaryota; Metazoa; Chordata; Amphibia; Anura; Pelobatidae. The record is from the annotation of a GenBank genome assembly.
CAUUCAACAAUAUUGGAAUCUACCCUUCGUAAGAGGAAUAGAGGCCCUCUACGCUGACCCCAGAGCACAGACAAUGGUGCCAGGGGGGCGUCACCAACCCCCUUCCGACCCAAGAACGGUACCAGACAGGGAUGCCCCUUGUCCCCCCUGCUGUUCAUUAUAGCACUAGAGCCCCUGCUACACUGAAUAAGUGAGGCCAAGGGCAUAGAGAAAAUCUGGGCCGGGGAGGAGAAGUAUAAAGUCUCCGCAUACGCGGAUGAUAUUAUGAUCACGAUGUCCAGCCCUCAUCACUCGCUCCCUCGACUCCUAUCACUAUUAGAGGAAUACGCAUAUGUUUCGGGCUACAAAAUUAAUAUGGGAAAAUCGGUGGCUCUGCCACUCGGAAUGGACCCAAGGGAGAUUGAAAGCCUAUGCACCGCACACACAUUAACAAUCGCGAAAACCAACAUUAAAUACUUGGGCGUUAGGCUCACUGCAGAUCCGGACAAAUUAUACUCCGAGAAUUACACACCUAGGAUACAAUCACUGUGCCGAGAUAUAGAAAAAUGGCAGGAAAAACCAAUUUCCUGGAUAGGCAGACUCCACGCCAUAAAGAUGAC